AUUGAACGCUGGCGGCAUGCUUUACACAUGCAAGUCGAACGGCAGCGCGGGCUUCGGCCUGGCGGCGAGUGGCGAACGGGUGAGUAAUACAUCGGAACGUGCCCAGUAGUGGGGGAUAGCUCGGCGAAAGCCGGAUUAAUACCGCAUACGACCUGAGGGUGAAAGCGGGGGAUCUUCGGACCUCGCGCUAUUGUAGCGGCCGAUGGCAGAUUAGCUAGUUGGUGGGGUAAAGGCCUACCAAGGCGACGAUCUGUAGCUGGUCUGAGAGGACGACCAGCCACACUGGGACUGAGACACGGCCCAGACUCCUACGGGAGGCAGCAGUGGGGAAUUUUGGACGAUGGGCGAAAGCCUGAUCCAGCAAUGCCGCGUGUGUGAUGAAGGCCUUCGGGUUGUAAAGCACUUUUGGCGGGAACGAAAAGGACUGUGCCAAUACCACGGUUCGAUGACGGUACCCGCAGAAUAAGCACCGGCUAACUACGUG
This 484-nucleotide ribosomal RNA is filed under the name uncultured bacterium. RNAcentral describes it as "partial 16S ribosomal RNA". It matches the Rfam family "Bacterial small subunit ribosomal RNA", at positions 29 to 507 of the family's 1533-position model. The record is from RNAcentral.